UGAGGAAUAUUGGUCAAUGGACGAGAGUCUGAACCAGCCAAGUCGCGUGAAGGAAGACGGUAUUAUGUAUUGUAAACUUCUUUUGUAAGGGAAUAAAUUGCGGGACGUGUCCUGUAUUGCAUGUACCUUACGAAUAAGCAUCGGCUAACUCCGUGCCAGCAGCCGCGGUAAUACGGAGGAUGCGAGCGUUAUCCGGAUUUAUUGGGUUUAAAGGGUGCGUAGGUUGAUGGUUAAGUCAGCGGUGAAAUCCCGGAGCUCAACUCCGGCACUGCCGUUGAAACUGGUCGUCUUGAGUGUGAACGAGGUAGGCGGAAUUCGUAGUGUAGCGGUGAAAUGCAUAGAUAUUACGAAGAACUCCGAUAGCGCAGGCAGCUUACCAGGCCACAACUGACACUGAAGC
Molecule: ribosomal RNA, 400 nt
Filed under: uncultured bacterium
Lineage: Bacteria
Description: bacterial SSU rRNA
Rfam family: Bacterial small subunit ribosomal RNA
Source: RNAcentral